RNAcentral lists this small RNA (1353 nucleotides) under Olea europaea subsp. europaea. Lineage: Eukaryota; Viridiplantae; Streptophyta; Magnoliopsida; Lamiales; Oleaceae. The record is from RNAcentral.
AGCCUAACAUUUAUGAUGAUGCCAUAAAUUGCAAAGAUUCUAAGAAUUGGAUAGCAGCUACGGAAAUGAGUUCAUUUCAUGAAAAUAAAACUUGGAAAUUAGUUGAAAAGCCAAAAGAAGGGAUUUAUAGAGUGAGGAAAUAAUAGUGUAAGAUAUAAGGCUAGACUAGCAGCAAAGGGGUUUACACAAAAAGAAGGUGUAGAUUACAUUGCAAUAUUUUCUCAUGUAGCAAAAUACACUACAAUAAGAUGUUUGCUUGCUUUAGUUGCUCAAUUUGGUUGGGAACUUGACCAGUUAGAUGUUAAAACCGCUUUCCUUUAUGGUGACCUAGAAGAGACAAUUUAUAUGAAAUAGCCUAUUGGGUUUGUGAAGGGUUUGUGAAAGGGAAUCAUGAAAAUAUUGUGUGCCUGUUAAAAAAGUUACUGUAUGACCUAAAACAGGCUCCUAGGCAGUGGUACAAAAGAUUUGAUUUUUUUGUAUUGAAACUUGGUUUUCAAAUGAGCAAUUAUGACACGUGUUUGUAUUGUAGAGGUAAAGGAGGUAAACAUUCUCUUUAUCUUGUACUUUAUGUGGAGGACAUGCUGCUUACAAGUUGUGAUAAAUCUGAAAUUGAAUAUAUUAAACAGCAACUUAAAAUCUGAAUUUGACAUGAAAGAUCUUGAAAUUUCUAAAAAGAUUCUUGGCAUAUAAAUUUAUAAGGAUAAAGAGAAAAACAUGUUAUCUCUGAAUCAGUAUGAUUAUGUGAUCAGAAUUUUGAAAAAAUUCAACAUGCUUGACUGUAAAUCUGUGUCUCUGCCUCUUGCUAAUCAUUUUGAGCUUACUCUAAUCUCUGUCCCAAAACUUUUGAAGAAUCUGAUAACAUGUCACAUGUACAUUAUGCUAAUGUUAUUGGUUCCGUGAUGUACUUGAUGGUAUGUACUAGACCUGAUCUUACUUUUAGUAUUAGCAUAUUGAGUAGGUUUAUGAGUAACCAUGGGGAAGAACAUUGGAAUGCUUUAAAAUGUCUCUUGAGAUACUUAAAGGGUACUGGAAACUUGGGUCUUGUGUUUAAAAUGAACAAAGAAUGGGUAACUUUAAAAGGAUUUGCUAAUUUUGACUUUGCUGGAAAUAAGGAUAAUAGAAAAUCAACUUCAUUUUACUUUUUCAGCUUAUGUGGUACAGUAGUCAGUUGGAAAUCACAAUUAUAAAAGAUUGUAGCUUUAUCUUCAACUGAAGCCGAAUACAUUACUGCUUCUGAUACUUUUAAAGAAGGAAUAUGGCUAAGUGGUUUACUAAAGGAACUUGGUUUUGUUGAUGAAAAUUCAACAUUAUAUUCUGAUAAUCAAAGUGCUAUACAUCUUAGUAAAAACCCCA